AUUGAACGCUGGCGGCAUGCUUUACACAUGCAAGUCGAACGGCAGCACGGGGGCAACCCUGGUGGCGAGUGGCGAACGGGUGAGUAAUAUAUCGGAACGUACCCGGAAAUGGGGGAUAACGUAGCGAAAGUUACGCUAAUACCGCAUAUGCCCUAAGGGGGAAAGCGGGGGAUUCGCAAGAACCUCGCGUUUUCGGAGUGGCCGAUAUCGGAUUAGCUAGUAGGUGAGGUAAAGGCUCACCUAGGCGACGAUCCGUAGCUGGUCUGAGAGGACGACCAGCCACACUGGAACUGAGACACGGUCCAGACUCCUACGGGAGGCAGCAGUGGGGAAUUUUGGGACAAUGGGCGCAAGCCUGAUCCAGCCAUGCCGCGUGAGUGAAGAAGGCC
Molecule: ribosomal RNA, 389 nt
Filed under: uncultured bacterium
Lineage: Bacteria
Description: bacterial SSU rRNA
Rfam family: Bacterial small subunit ribosomal RNA
Source: RNAcentral